Molecule: long non-coding RNA, 1176 nt
Filed under: Vigna radiata
Lineage: Eukaryota; Viridiplantae; Streptophyta; Magnoliopsida; Fabales; Fabaceae
Description: long non-coding RNA (VRAD_LNC011143)
Source: RNAcentral
AUUCUAGAGGGGACGGCAUAAAGCCUUUCUGGAAAAGGCUUAAGAUCACCAGAAACUCUAGGAGUUGGAGUAAUGCAGACCUCCAUUUUCUUAUACCUGUAGCCACAAAACAAAGUCAUUCCAGGUAAGUACACCUCUUACUUCUGAGCAUAAGUGUUGAUCAAACUUUUAGGAUAUCUAAAACUCAUAGAUACCCUUGUGAGAACUUAAAAAAAGGAUUUCUUGUGUUAAUAUUACAUGAUUUCAUGAUAUAUAAAAUAAUCACAAAUUGGGAUCACGAAGCUUUUAUCAUAACUACAUGCGCAAACAUCAAAGACAUAGAAACAGUAAUUACAUAUUUUGUUUCCAUUGGCUCCUGCAUAACCGUAUGGGACAUGGUACUUGAUUACUGAUUUUCUUAUAAUACAUCAAUUUUUUAAGACAGUUUUGUUUUCCUUUUUUUCCACAACUUUUCUCCCACCUUUUACGUUCAUGUAUGCUUGUGCUUACGGUUAGUAGAAAGAAAUAUAAGGAAUCCUAAUAAAAGAAUGUCAAAAUAUUCAAAUUGUUCAAUACUAAUUAAGGGUCAUACCAGACAUCAUUAGCAUCUGCCGACUCACAGAAUUUUACUCCGGAAUCUUCUUGUCUGCUGCGACAUGAUUCGGAGUCAACAGUUUUUUGCCAAAUAGCAAUUUCAGAUUGUUCAGACUUUUUCUCCCAGCAUAGGAGCUUAGCAACCUCUUCAAUCUUUCUUUGUUCUUCUUCAAGAUCCUCUUUGGGUCUCUGCCAGGAUUUGUAGUUAGCCUUCCAAUUGAUUGGAGGACCAGACAGCACCCAAUAACCGCCAGGUCUUAGAACUCGGUCAACCUCCAUCAUAUACAUUCCAUCUGCAAAUAGAGGACCCAAUAUGCAUUACUAAAUAGCUGCUAUAACUUAUAUGAGGCGCCAAAUCUAAGAGCAAUAAUACGCAAAAAAAUCAUCCUGCUUUCUCAUUUACAGCAAGUACUUCACAGAGAAGAUUAUACUUAAAAACGUGAAUAUCUCACCAUUUCCUCCCCAGGGAAUCAAGCAGCGAGAGCAGUGUGCCAUGUCAAAAGCUGCAGAUGGAUACGGCAAUUUUAUGGUUCCAAGAACACCAAUGACAGCAGGUACACCUCUUUCAAGAGCAAACUGUACUUGUGCCUCAUGAGAGUCCCU